Molecule: non-coding RNA, 597 nt
Organism: Paramuricea clavata
Lineage: Eukaryota; Metazoa; Cnidaria; Anthozoa; Malacalcyonacea; Plexauridae
Source: the annotation of a GenBank genome assembly
CAUGAUUUGCCAAUAAGCUUAUAUAUGAAUUAUUAAUGAGUGUUUGAAUUAUGAUAUACAUAUAAGCAUUGAGCGGUGAGUUGAAUCAUAGACAAUCUAGAAGAAACUGAAUGUCUUCUGGAUUGUCCAUGCCGCCUAUAUGAUUUAAUGUGUCGGUUUUUAUGAGAUGAGUACUGUAUCGACUAUCGUACUUAUCAUCCAGGAUGCAUGCGUAUAAAUUAAAUGUUUUGUCUGUUGACUACACACGUCAAAAUCUCACAACUUGUCAACAAGAUGUGUUCGCAACAGGCUUGUAGCAAGCUUGUGCUGCUUGUCAACAAGUUGUAACAAUUUUAUACAACAUUGCCCCUCACAACUUGUUGACUCAAACUGUUGAAUUGCAGGAUCUGCCAGGAUGAUAACAAGUUGUUGGAACAACUUGUAACACGUCUGUUCAGCUCAACAACCUUGUAGUAAGUUGUCAACAAGUCAUUAACUUGUCAACAAGCAGUGCGAACACAUACAAGUCUGCAGCAGGGUUGUUACAACUACUGAGUUUUUACGUGUGUAGCUAAAGAUAAGCCGCUUUGACUGAGAAAGUCAAACAAAACGUUUAUG